GCGCCCUCUCUCCGAUCAGCCUCAGGGCGCGCGGGCUGAGAAGGCCCUGCCUCGGAGUCAGCGGGGCGAGAAGGCCCCGCCUCGGGAUGCGCAGGGCGGGAAGGAUCCGCCUCGGCCACCACUGCCGCCGAGGGAGUCGAGGUUGCCGAGACCUUCUGCUUCUUUCUCGGCUCCGCAGGCUCUUCCGAGAGCUCGGCUGCCCUCUUCUGGAAGCGGGCGUAAAGGACUUCGCUCUUGGUCACCAUUUUUGCGAUGUCUGCAAAGAUAAACAAAAUUAGAACAUUAGAACAAUAAGGAAAUAAAAAGUUGCUGUAACUAUCCUUACCCUGAGGACAUGCCGAGCUCAGGCCCACGUUCACCAGGGCGUCCUCGCUAAUGAGGCCGUUCAGCAAAAUCCCGUCCCCAAGGCUGCGGAUGGUGUCGAAGAUCUCCUGCUCACGCGGAGAAAGCUGGGGGAGCCUGUUGAUGGAUUUAAGCUGGGCCGGCCUCCACCUGGGGUCAAACCCCCAGGACCGUUCAGAGCCCAGGAAGAAGAAUUUCUCCUUCCAACCAUGAAUGGAUGAGGGGGCACCAUGAAAAAGUGGCCGACCCGCCCGGAGGGCGAUGUAGAGCCACUCCCCGUCUCCC
Molecule: long non-coding RNA, 627 nt
Filed under: Phoenix dactylifera (date palm)
Lineage: Eukaryota; Viridiplantae; Streptophyta; Magnoliopsida; Arecales; Arecaceae
Description: long non-coding RNA (PDAC_LNC008256)
Source: RNAcentral